Long non-coding RNA from Apodemus sylvaticus (European woodmouse), 647 nucleotides. RefSeq lists it as uncharacterized. The transcript has 3 exons. The record is from RefSeq and is a predicted model, not a curated record. Lineage: Eukaryota; Metazoa; Chordata; Mammalia; Rodentia; Muridae.
UUUCUUGCGGCGGCGGCGGCGGCGGCUGCAGGAGGAGGGAAAGCAGCUCCAGCUAUGACUGCCGCAUGUUAAUAGCUCCCGCUUGGGUCCACCGGCUGCAGCGAGAGACACAGCCUGACUCCGAAGUUGUGCAACUGUGCCCUGAGAGAGACAUUUGAACCCUCCUUCUCUUUGCUCCGCUUUUGCCCCCUGGGGCGUGUGAAGCGAGGAAACGUAAAGGAAGACUAGCAUUGGCUUUCCCUGCUUCCCCCUUCUCCAUGGCUGUGUAGAAGAAGAAAGGAAAGACACACUUUUUGUUGUUUCUUUGACUGGGGUCUCCACCCUCCUGUGGUCUCUGCGUUUUGAUUAUCAUUCGUUGCUUGGUGUGACUGGGGUGUCUACAGUGGGACAGGUCCAUCUUUUUUCUGGUUUCUUUUUCUUUCUUUCUUUCUUUUUUUUUUUCUUUCUUCUUUUUUUUUUUUUGCCCCGGGGCUCAAUGGAUGGAUUUUGGAAAACUGUACCGGGUUGCAGGUUGUUGAGCAACUGAUGGGACCAUCUCAGGGACCGGCGGUUACGAAAGAUGCUGAUUUGAAGAGCUGUCCUGAAAACUGAAAUGAUUAAUUCAGAAAGUCAGAAGACAAAGCUAUGGAUUUUUAGCAAUCACAGAG